Argiope bruennichi is the source of this 5003-nucleotide RNA transcript. It is a transcript of the gene named cyclic AMP-responsive element-binding protein 3-like protein 2, with no coding region annotated. The record is from RefSeq and is a predicted model, not a curated record. The transcript is spliced from 12 exons. Lineage: Eukaryota; Metazoa; Arthropoda; Arachnida; Araneae; Araneidae.
UGAAGUAGAAGGCAGGCAAAGUGGUUAGGAAUCCCCGAGAAUCCAUUUCGAAAUAUUGGCAACCGACUUGGCUUCGAACCUGGAUACGAUUAUGGAAGUGCUGGAACAAGUCAACUAUUCCGACAGUGAUUUAAGGGAUAUUUGGGACACAGAAUCAUUUAGUUCGGUGCAUAAUAUUCCUUAUGAUGAAACUAUCCUGAAACAUCUCGCAGAGGACAUGAGUUUGGACACGGAAGCUGACUGGGCCCAAAUUUUAGAUAAUCAACCAAUUGUUUUAAAUGACCGAAUGAUGACUGAUGCCGUCCAGUCUCCUCAUAUCCAAUCAGAGCACAGUUAUUCUCUCACUCUAAAUGACGAAAUGCCACAGUCACCUUUUGGACAUAAUAUUAAACUGGAAGAUUACAGCAAAGAUAUGGAAGCAGAAUGCUUUCCCACGGUAUCCAGCGGGCCGUCCGAGUUUUCUGAAGACGUUUUGAUCAAGCAAGAACCCGUUUCUCCUCCUCCUGCUACAUCUCCUCGGAUUUCGGCAAUCUCUUCUCUACUGAACGCCCCCUCUCCGCCCUUGCACCCACAUUCCUUAUUGAAGCAGCCCACCAUCGUCCUUGCUGCUCGGAAAUCUUCUCGAGACCAUCCCAUUCUUUACCCCAAAGUUAGCAUCAAAGUGGAGCCUUCGUUAUCGACCAGUGGAUUUCCGCUUCCACCGACUCCUCCAUCUUGCAAUGGCAGCGAUUCGGAGGGCAGUUUGUCUCCGGUCCACGGGGGAUCCUCGACAUCUUCUCAUCAACCGUCUUCACCUCAAGGUCUUCUUUGCGGCUCACCGUCGUCUAAUUCAUCGUCAUCGACCCAUUCCUCAGGCCAUGCUAUGGGUCGCAAAUCCCAUGCCAAGAUAGUACUGCCGGUUUCAUCGUCCAAACAUUCGAAUAGCCAAACAGCUCUCAUAAGCAGUCAACCGAAAGGGGCAACUGGAGUUUUGCAACUCACCGAUGAAGAAAAGCGAACUUUAUUAGCCGAAGGCUAUCACAUUCCACAAAAAUUACCCCUCACAAAGGCCGAAGAGCGUUCACUGAAGAAAAUUAGAAGAAAAAUAAAAAAUAAGAUAUCUGCUCAGGAAAGUAGACGGAAGAAAAAAGAAUACAUGGAUGCUUUAGAAAAAAAAGUUGAGAUACUGUCUAGUGAAAACAGUGAAUAUAAGAAGAAAUUAGACUCAUUAGAAGGAAAUAACAAGUCUCUAUUGUCUCAGCUCCAAAAUCUCCAAGCCAUUCUGAAUGAGAUGCCCAGCAAACGGUGUCGUAAUGCUGCCACGCAGACCAUUCCUAGUUCAAAUUCUGUGAGGCACAAUGGUUCUAGUAGAUCAGAAAUGUCUACUGAAUUAUUUGAAAGCACAGAUGCCAAAGGAAGAUAGCGACUUGAUCUUGAGAGAGAGAGAGUUCUUACGCAUUCCAGUAAGUUUUCUUCUCCUCUUAAAAUGAGACUUGGAGUGUUCUGAAGCAACUUUUGCCUUUGUUGUGUCAAAAGAAUUGAAAUGUUUUGUGCUUUUCUUUUAUAUGAUCCAUUGCAUCCAGAGACUAAGCUUUGACUCCAUAUUUUGAGGGAAAUGCAUUUUGUCCCAUGGUUUCAUAAUGUGUUUAAAUGGACCAGCUUCAGAAUUUGAACUCUUUUGCUAUUGAUUCUAACUUGCAGCCAAAAUCGUCAAUGAUGUUUUCCUUUGUUAUGUUCUCAUGUUCCAGAUUGUAUGAUGCUGUUGUAUUGUUUGUCAUAAUUAUAUUUGUUUAAAUUCUUUAUAGGUUUAUAGAGGCAGUUUAGUACUAAACGUGUACUUUUGGGUUAUAUAAAACUAAAUCGAGUCAUGAUAAUGACAGUAAAAAUCUAUGUGCAUUCAUAUCAUCUUACUAUGUUGGUUUAAAGUUAUGUUUACUAUACUUUUUGAAAAAGAUAGUUUUAAGAUUUUGAAUCUUCUUUUCUUUCGCUAACAAAAUCAUAAGAGAUAAUUAUCAUUCGUUUCAUGUGUGUAAUCUAUUGGUUCUAUCAUAUUUAUAAGGAUAAUAAUAAGCAUAUUAUUCUUCUGUACUUUGUAAUAUUCAUAGGGGAAUAAUCUUGUUCUCAUAGAUUACUGCUAUAACUAUAAUAUAUAUAUAUAUAUAUAUGCCCAUGAUUAAAUAUUUAUCUAUCGUACUUUUUAAACUAUUUUGAACUUUAAAAUAUAUAUAAUUAUAUUCAACUAUAUAUUUUGAUCUUGAUUGCUUUUGCUGAACCAUUCUUUAAAAUUAUUUUAUUUUCCGAGGGAGUAAAAUAUCACCUACUUCGUGGGGAUUGAAUUCUUUUUAGUAUAAAUACUUUUUUUCCCCACUGCUGCGAAACACAUUUAUAGAGCUAUCGCAACUUAUACAAACUUACUUAUUUUAUUUAAAAAUUCUUUUCUUUCUAUAUUUUUGUGAGUUAAAUGGACAUAUAUAUAAUCUUGGGCGCGUAAAAUUGAAAUAUUACUUCCUAAUCUUUGUAAAAUCCCUUUGAUUCUGAUUUCGUUUUAUUCCAGAAUUUUGUCUUUAAUUAAUUCGGAAAUUUUAAUUAAUUAAAUUUAAUUAAUGAAGAAAUUUAAAUGUAAUUAAAAAAUUUACAGGUAUUAAAUAUGUUUAUAUUAACAUUUUUGAUAGAAUAUAAAUUGAAAAGUAUGAAUUUCUAUGUGAACACACAUCUUAGAAAUGGAUGACGAACUUUCAUUAUGAAGGAUUUUGUGUAAUCAAUGAAUAUUUAUUGAAACAUUUGUGUAAUUUUAGCACUAAUGAAUUGACUUUGGAUGGUAUAUAAGGAAUUUCUGUAAAAUGGAACAUAUCGGAUACUGCUGUAGUAUUGUUUUUAUAAUUGAUGAUUCUCUUUUUUUCAUUUGAAAAUGAUUAUCCUGAGAAUUAUCACUUAACGCAGGAGAUUUUAAAUCGAGUACGAAAUAUAUCAACAGUCAUAAAAUCAUUGCUAGAUAAUUGUUGCAGAAUCCGAAGUAAAAAUUGUGCUGUAGCGUAAAAUUUACUGUCGGAGGUUAAACUCUUUUAACGAUAUUCAAGUAAACAACUAAUGAGUGCCAAAUUCAUUCUGUUUCUUAUUUUUUCCAAAUAUAUUAUUUUAAUCCUCUAUUUUAAAGAGGUAGAAACGAAAUUUCGCAAUUGCAGUUGUGAUUCCUUGAAUUAAUCGUUAUUUUUCUAACGAAAUAUUGAGCAAAAUUAAAUUAGCAAAAAUUGUUCGCCUUUCAGAUUAGAUUACAAAAGAGGAUUUCGUAUAAAAACUUCUUUAAUGAUUGAAUUUCUUUGUUUUGACAAUCAAAUAAGAUAAUUUCUGAAAGUGUAUCCAUUUUUGGAUGAAAUUACACGGAUAUUUUUAGUCUGAAAUGUUUAAAAAUAUUUUUGACAAUUUAAGGAAUUUGUUUUUCAUCUAUAGAACUUUUAGUACAGAAAAUUUGGAUGGGAAAAAAAUAAAAUUACUAAAUAUUAGGAUGUCAAAUACAUAAUACUCCCCUUUGCAUUUUUAGCAUUUGUGGCACACACCUUGUGGGUUCAGUCAUUUAUUAACUUGCCUUUUUUUCCACAAUGGUAUGAAAACUCUAUUUUUGAUUUUCAAUCUAUCUUUUUAUGCAUUGUACAUAUCAUUAAAAAAAUACAUUUUUCUUGAUAAGACCAAUUUCAGUUUGUUUGAAGAAAAGUACUUAUGUUUGUGAAAAUGGCCGUGCUUAAUAUGGCCUAUAUUUACUGAGCAACUAGUCUAUAUGCACUAAUUUUUAUAUAUGUUAGCUUAAUGGUAAAGGUUGAUGUUUUUUUCCUGGGUCGAUAAUACUAGGUCGUAAUUUAUGUGCAAUGUUUUCAUUAUAAUGUAGCUUUUAAUUAUGAGAGAAAACUGGACAGAUAUAUACUUUGAUGAAGAGAAUAGUUGACUCUGGAUUUAAAAGAAGUGUUGACCAAUGAUCAAGUAAAUUCUAUAAAUUCGUUUCAGUUUACAAAAAUCAUUGGAAUGGAAAUGUGUAAUGGUUCACGAUAAACGUGGAAUAUAUUUAUUUUUAAAUAGAUGCUUCGUCUUGAUAACUUUUAAUGCAUAUAUAUUUCUUAAAAGUAUAUCUACUGUGAUCAACACUUCAGAAAAAUCCUGAGGAAAAUUCUAUUUUUGACAGGCUUCAUCAAAAGGUUUAUUUUUUGGGCAAUAUAUUUAAAUGUUGAUAAAAUUGUCGCCAUGUCCUUUUAUGUGACUUAACAUUAUAUAUAAAAAUAUAGAAUAAAUAAAUAUAUAUAUAUAUAUAUAUACAUAUACAUACUAUAUAUUAUAGAAAGACAAAUACCUAUGUUUUAAAUUCAUUUGAAUCAUUGGUCAUAAAUGAAAUAUCCUAUUCAUUUCAUAUGGAACAUAUAUAUAUCUGCAUUGUCACAUUCCAAGUUCCUGUUAUUCAACACAUUAUGAAAUUAGUAUUUUAUUAAAAACUGUUGUAACUCAUUUUACAUUGUUUUCAUAACUGUGUUUUUGAGACAGAAUUAUACUUUUUAUUUACUUUUUAAGCAUAUUUAGUGCAAUUAUAUAUAACAAAAAGUUUAUUUGAAUAGAAAUUACGGAUUUGUUUAAGAUGUACAAAAUUACAUUUAUUUAUUAGAAUUCAUUAAAUAGUGAUCGUCCUGAAUAUUUAGAGAUGUAGAUAUUUAUUUAUUGGUUGUAAAUUCAGAUUAUUUUUUAUUUCAUGAGUUUCACUAAUUUAUUAAAAGUUUCCAUAUGAGAAGUUGAUUCGUGAGAUGAAAAUGUUUUGAAUCUCAGUGAGUCUAUAAAAAAAAUCAAAAUAUUUAAAAAAUCUAUUUUAUAAGAGUUUCUUUUACAGAUUGAUAUUAUAUGAAAUUAAAAAGCAUGAUUUCUUUUUAAAAUAUUGCUGUGACAUUUUGUCUUUGGUAUGCUUCUGUACAAAUGUUUUGUAUAAUAAAAUAUGAAUUGUAGCUGUUGAUGCUGAUAUAUCAUCUGAAUAAAAAUAAAUGCUUUAAAUGUGG